CUUUACUUGAAUACCAGAGACCUGAUCUGAGACCCGAGCGGGUCCGGAUCUAGAAUUCUAAAUGUCACCGUCUGGGUUGGAUCCGACAUGAUUGUCACAGGUCUCGGGUAUGUGUAAUUUUAACUGACUUGUCCGGAAGGGUCCCGUACAGAUCCGAACACGACUGCUGCAGUAGAGAGAACUUGUAUAAUUUAUAUUGCUGCUCUUGCUUUUCACAAGUGUAGUGUAGCAGUGGCGGUUGGUGAUGUUUAAGAUGGAGGACGACACAUUAAAUACAGCCUUGCACACUCUUGCCUGCAUCUAGCUGAUAUAGGGUGUUAUUAGUCCAACUGUUGAAAAACACGUUUAUAUUGGCAAAAUUCAGGUAUGUUUAUCCCUGUUUCAUUCCAUUUGCUUCCGUUUUUAAAUGUUUUUCAACAGAAUCAGCGUCAUGAAUACACCCCUGAUCACACAAACAGCUUACUUUCAUAGCAGCCACACUAUUCAUUCUUGCGUCUAUGGGCUCCUCCUUUUCCCUUCGCUUGUGGACUUCAAUGAACAACACAGCAGCUGUAUGUGACCAGGUGGACUUCUCCUGUGGGAACAGCACAAAGCCCAGAGCGGACAUGGCCUUCCACUUCAACCCGCGCUUUAACUGAUCUCCCUGCAUCGUGUGUAAGAUGAUGCAGAGAGCGGGAGCAAGGAAGAUAUCCAGCAUUAGCACGCCUUCACACUGGGGUCAACCUUUGAGAUGAUCGUCCUGGUGCAGAAAGAUGAGUUUAAGGCACUGGUUUCAACAUGAGGUGACCCAUUAUAUAUAUUCUAUGAUUCUGACGUGAAGCACCUGUGCUGCCGACGUAAUACAUCACACAUUUGAUUAGAACGAAAUAGGCAAAAUCAGAUUCAGCCCACUGGUACCAGAACAGCUGGGUCUGGCCUUUGGAAAUGCUCUUACCUGUAUCUUAUCACAUGUUCUAGACAUGGAAGAAUGUCAUAAUAGCAUUACAGCAAGCUUUGAAGGUCUGUGAUGUACUUUUCCACAACUUAAAGGUUCACACUACACAGAGAAACAUGAGUGCCAGAGGUUGAUCAUAUACAGUGACCUUUGGAAAGUUUUCAGACACCUUGGCUUUUUCCAUAUUUUGUUACGUUACAGCCUUAUUCUAAAAUGUAUUAAAUUGUAUUUCUUUCCCUCAUCAAUCUACAGUCGUGGCCAAAAGUUUUGAGAAUGACACAAAUAUUAUUUUUCACGAAGUUUGCU
RNAcentral lists this long non-coding RNA (1240 nucleotides) under Salmo salar (Atlantic salmon). RNAcentral's name for it is "lncRNA (ENSSSAG00000097005.1)". Lineage: Eukaryota; Metazoa; Chordata; Actinopteri; Salmoniformes; Salmonidae. The record is from RNAcentral.